RNAcentral lists this unclassified non-coding RNA (692 nucleotides) under Hevea brasiliensis (rubber tree). Lineage: Eukaryota; Viridiplantae; Streptophyta; Magnoliopsida; Malpighiales; Euphorbiaceae. The record is from RNAcentral.
GAAAGGUACAAAAUAUAUUAAUAUUAUCGAAAAUUCUUGAAAACUGUGGACUCCUACUUGCCAUCUUGUUAAAGCCCCAAGUAGGCGUAAAAUGAAGCCUUUUGUUAUAAUAUAAGCUUCUUUUAUCAUCAUAUUCUAUCAAAAAAGAAAAGAAAACGUAGCCUCCUGCUAUGUAUAGUGAAGGAAAGGAUUGCUAGAGGUUGUUACCAUCCUCCUAUGAGUUCUGAAAAGAUGCUUGAACUGUCUCUGGCUCGAAAUAAAAAAUGAUGUAAAAUUAUUCCCCUUGUUCUUAAUGGAUUUUUCCCCUUGUUCUUAAUGGCCUUCUAUGAGCCUUUGUGCUGGGAGCCCGGAAAUGAAAUAACAGUUUGAACUUUGAUGCAGCAAUGAAACAUCCCCAUUAUAGUAUAGAGCCUUUGUAGCUCGUCUUUGUAGCCUAUCCUCUUCAUAUAUAAUCUUCAAAGCCUACAUAGCAAAGCCUUAUUGAAUAUAUCCAAAUCUCAAAUUUCCAUGAACUGAAAAGGCAAUGAUUAGUGUGUUAAACUUUAACAUUCUUAUUUUUCCUCGUCUAUAAGAUGGAUAUAUUACUUAACAUGUAAUUUCCUGCCUUACAAACUUUUAGUUUGUUUUAUGUGCGUGCCUUUCUUCAGCCACCUCCUAUUAAACCAUUGGACAACCAGUUGAAUUUGGCAGAC